GUUCAGAAUCCUCAUAAUGCAGUAAAGAACACAUAGCCAGGGACCGAGGGGCUAGGAAGCAAAUACAGCAUGAUCAUGAAAGUAAAGCAAGCGGUGCUAAGCAUUGAGACAUAGAUGCUAGAAAAACAACAUACAGACUCUAGACUGACAGACGACCAACACCCACUAACUCUGACAGACUGAAACUCGAAAGACUAGACAGAACAACAGAUAACUGCAGUACACUAACACAGGUAAACUCUUGAUCCAAACCACUACAAGUAGCACUGCCCGAAGGCCUACAAGGAAGACGUCAGCUCUAACCAUUGAAAGAGUUGAAGACACAUGCAGGAGAGCCAGUAGAAGCACUGGCAGAGUUGGAGGCAUCGCCCGAAGAGACGGAGACGGCUCUGUCCUUAGCUUGUUCCAGGAUGGCAUUGGCGUUGAGGUCGCAACACUGAGCGAUCUGCUUCAGCUUGCCCCGAGUGAGCGGUGACGGUGUGUUCAGAAGUGGUAGCUCGAGGAGUUCUGACACGGCCACUGUCUUGACUUUCUUGCGGCGCCAAGAAGAACCGGAGCGGCGGGACGAUCCCAAACUGGAGUCGGAUCCUGUUGCCACCGCCUUCCUCUUAGCAGCCCGCUCGACAGAUCCCACGCGCACCCCGUCGUAGGCGCGCCUGAUGCGUGGACUGCGCCUCGGCGAAGCGGUGAGCACUGGCGGUGGCGCUUCCUCCUCCUCCGCCGGCUGGCCAAGAACAAGAUUGGGAGCCCUGGCCGCCUCCAGGGUCCCCAGAGCAGCCGGCGCCAGGUCCUGGAUCUCCGCCGCGUUGUUGAGAUCGAAGGCCGCAGGGACGGCCGGGGCCGCCACCCCUACACCCAUAGAGGGGGAGGGGAAGAGUCGCAGCGCGGCAGUAGAUCACCAGCGGGAGGCUCACGCGGUGGUAAGCGGCAGCUGCAGAGGGCGGUGGCCACCUGGGGCGGAAGUGCAGCGCACGCCCCGUGCAGAAGAUCAGUGGAGAUGACUAGGGACGGUUGACCGCUCAACAGUAUCCCUGGCUCAGGACGAGGGAUGCGGUGGAAAGGCCUGGAGCAGAUGGGCCGUGCCACCAGAAUCUGGUGGGCCCGGUAGUGUUGCUGGGCUGGGAAUUGGUUCUCUAUUGGCAAGUCGCUGGGUGCGAAAGCAAG
This 1164-nucleotide ribosomal RNA is filed under the name Triticum aestivum (bread wheat). RNAcentral describes it as "partial small subunit ribosomal RNA". Lineage: Eukaryota; Viridiplantae; Streptophyta; Magnoliopsida; Poales; Poaceae. The record is from RNAcentral.